RNAcentral lists this ribosomal RNA (586 nucleotides) under Schwanniomyces occidentalis. Its description in RNAcentral is "eukaryotic LSU rRNA". It matches the Rfam family "Eukaryotic large subunit ribosomal RNA", at positions 55 to 657 of the family's 3401-position model. Lineage: Eukaryota; Fungi; Ascomycota; Pichiomycetes; Serinales; Debaryomycetaceae. The record is from RNAcentral.
GGAAAAGAAACCAACAGGGAUUGCCUUAGUAACGGCGAGUGAAGCGGCAAAAGCUCAAAUUUGAAAUCUGGCACCUUCGGUGUCCGAGUUGUAAUUUGAAGAAGGUAACUUUGGGAUUGGCUCUUGUCUAAGUUCCUUGGAACAGGACGUCACAGAGGGUGAGAAUCCCGUGCGAUGAGAUGACCAAUCCUAUGUAAAGUGCUUUCGAAGAGUCGAGUUGUUUGGGAAUGCAGCUCUAAGUGGGUGGUAAAUUCCAUCUAAAGCUAAAUAUUGGCGAGAGACCGAUAGCGAACAAGUACAGUGAUGGAAAGAUGAAAAGAACUUUGAAAAGAGAGUGAAAAAGUACGUGAAAUUGUUGAAAGGGAAGGGCUUGAGAUCAGACUUGGUAUUUUGCAUUCCUUACCUUCGUGGUGGGGUUCCUUGCAGUUUACUGGGCCAGCAUCGGUUUGGAUGGUGGGAUAAUGACAUUGGAAUGUGGCUCUGCUUCGGUAGAGUGUUAUAGCCAGUGUUGAUACCGCCUGUCUAGACCGAGGACUGCGUCUUUGACUAGGAUGCUGGCAUAAUGAUCUUAAGUCGCCCGUCUUGA